AGAGUUUGAUCAUGGCUCAGAUUGAACGCUGGCGGCAGGCCUAACACAUGCAAGUCGAGCGGUAGCACAGAGAGCUUGCUCUCGGGUGACGAGCGGCGGACGGGUGAGUAAUGUCUGGGAAACUGCCUGAUGGAGGGGGAUAACUACUGGAAACGGUAGCUAAUACCGCAUAACGUCGCAAGACCAAAGUGGGGGACCUUCGGGCCUCAUGCCAUCAGAUGUGCCCAGAUGGGAUUAGCUAGUAGGUGGGGUAAUGGCUCACCUAGGCGACGAUCCCUAGCUGGUCUGAGAGGAUGACCAGCCACACUGGAACUGAGACACGGUCCAGACUCCUACGGGAGGCAGCAGUGGGGAAUAUUGCACAAUGGGCGCAAGCCUGAUGCAGCCAUGCCGCGUGUAUGAAGAAGGCCUUCGGGUUGUAAAGUACUUUCAGCGAGGAGGAAGGCNNNGAUUGACGUUACUCGCAGAAGAAGCACCGGCUAACUCCGUGCCAGCAGCCGCGGUAAUACGGAGGGUGCAAGCGUUAAUCGGAAUUACUGGGCGUAAAGCGCACGCAGGCGGUCUGUCAAGUCGGAUGUGAAAUCCCCGGGCUCAACCUGGGAACUGCAUUCGAAACUGGCAGGCUAGAGUCUUGUAGAGGGGGGUAGAAUUCCAGGUGUAGCGGUGAAAUGCGUAGAGAUCUGGAGGAAUACCGGUGGCGAAGGCGGCCCCCUGGACAAAGACUGACGCUCAGGUGCGAAAGCGUGGGGAGCAAACAGGAUUAGAUACCCUGGUAGUCCACGCCGUAAACGAUGUCGACUUGGAGGUUGUGCCCUUGAGGCGUGGCUUCCGGAGCUAACGCGUUAAGUCGACCGCCUGGGGAGUACGGCCGCAAGGUUAAAACUCAAAUGAAUUGACGGGGGCCCGCACAAGCGGUGGAGCAUGUGGUUUAAUUCGAUGCAACGCGAAGAACCUUACCUACUCUUGACAUCCAGAGAACUUAGCAGAGAUGCUUUGGUGCCUUCGGGAACUCUGAGACAGGUGCUGCAUGGCUGUCGUCAGCUCGUGUUGUGAAAUGUUGGGUUAAGUCCCGCAACGAGCGCAACCCUUAUCCUUUGUUGCCAGCGGUUAGGCCGGGAACUCAAAGGAGACUGCCAGUGAUAAACUGGAGGAAGGUGGGGAUGACGUCAAGUCAUCAUGGCCCUUACGAGUAGGGCUACACACGUGCUACAAUGGCAUAUACAAAGAGAAGCGACCUCGCGAGAGCAAGCGGACCUCAUAAAGUAUGUCGUAGUCCGGAUUGGAGUCUGCAACUCGACUCCAUGAAGUCGGAAUCGCUAGUAAUCGUAGAUCAGAAUGCUACGGUGAAUACGUUCCCGGGCCUUGUACACACCGCCCGUCACACCAUGGGAGUGGGUUGCAAAAGAAGUAGGUAGCUUAACCUUCGGGAGGGCGCUUACCACUUUGUGAUUCAUGACUGGGGUGAAGUCGUAACAAGGUAACCGUAGGGGAACCUGCGGUUG
Molecule: ribosomal RNA, 1502 nt
Filed under: Klebsiella aerogenes
Lineage: Bacteria; Pseudomonadati; Pseudomonadota; Gammaproteobacteria; Enterobacterales; Enterobacteriaceae
Description: bacterial SSU rRNA
Rfam family: Bacterial small subunit ribosomal RNA
Source: RNAcentral